ACGCUUAACCAACUGAGCCACCCAGGUGCCUGUAACAGCAUUUUAUUCAAACUUCUUAAUGUGUGUGUUACUGCACCUUUCAUUCCGUGUCUCUUCUACAGGGUUAUUAGCUCCUUAAGGAGCACUAGCAGGGCACAGGCUUUUGAGGAAGACAAACCUGAGUUGGAACUUCAGUUCUGCCCUUGGUAGCUGUGUAAGCUUCGAAUAGGUGAUAAGGAGUUUCAGAAUGACAGAGAAGGUUUUCCUUAACAGCAUAGAAGUUCUAAAUAUGAGCCUCCCAAAAGCAAGUACAAGAAAGCAAAUAGAAGAAAUCUUACUGAAGAGGAAGCAUUGAUAAUGCAAUUAUUUCACUCAGAACUCCUGGUUCUACGGAGAGUCUCACUACAUGGAACUGAGCAUCACAACAGGAUGGGUAAAAAUGGAGGUUAUCUCCCGGUGAUUUUUCCUGGAGCCACCAUGCAGACUUUGGGGAAAUAAGUUUGGAGGACGAAGGGGCGCCACAGAGAAGCGAGGACAAGAUAUUCAGAGCCAACUUUCCAUCCUGAGUCGACAUAAAGAAAUUACAAAUGGGGACAUCUGAGGUAAGAGCCUACAAAGCUCAGUGUGUGUGGACGCUGGGUUGUGAGAGUAAGAGAGAAGACGUGUAUUGUACCUACUGGCACAGAACCUAACCCAUAGUAAGCAUUCACCGAAUGGAAUUUAGUGUUGCCGUUACUCUACUGUGACACCUUUGAAAAAUUCUACACAGAAGGCUUACUGACUACCUUCCUAUGGCUUUGCAACAUUGUGAAGAACCUUCUACAGCAUCUAGUAGGCCUUGCGGUAACAAAGCUGAGGAAUGCAGGAUUUGUUAGCACCUGUUUCUGGUGGUCUUUGGUCUGAUCCUCAGCAGUGGAAUUACAUUUGAAAUAGACUAUGUUUACCGAGGAAGGCAUAUGGAAGAAAUGCAGCGUUGACCUUUAUGCAAAGAUUUUCUUUUUCUAUAGGAGAAUGAUCAUUAUCAAGAAACAUUUACUAAUGACCAACUAAAAUACGCUGUUUAUAAAUCUAUGGGAAAAUGUGAACUAUUCUUCCUUGAUAACCGCAAGGACAUGUGUGUAGAGAAAAAGAAAUCAAUUUGGUUUCUCUGAGCAGCUUUAGACCUGAUCCUAGAAACAAUAUUUAGUAGCUCCUUUAAAUUCUAAGAGAGAAAAAUAGUCAAAUUUAAUAAUUAUUAACUUAUAAUUUAUUACUAAUUAGGCAUGGGAUGUUUUAUCCUAUUUGUUGGCAUUAAAGUUAAAGUAAAACCAA
Molecule: long non-coding RNA, 1290 nt
Organism: Callorhinus ursinus (northern fur seal)
Lineage: Eukaryota; Metazoa; Chordata; Mammalia; Carnivora; Otariidae
Source: RefSeq, a predicted model, not a curated record